Dioscorea cayenensis subsp. rotundata (Guinea yam) is the source of this 684-nucleotide long non-coding RNA. RefSeq lists it as uncharacterized. The record is from RefSeq and is a predicted model, not a curated record. Lineage: Eukaryota; Viridiplantae; Streptophyta; Magnoliopsida; Dioscoreales; Dioscoreaceae. The transcript is spliced from 4 exons.
UUCUCUUCUUCAUUCCAAUGGUUGGCCCUCUCUUCUUCUUGCCAAAUUUUGUUUGGUUUGAAUAUUUAGAAGGUGGUGAGGGUUCAGCUCGAGGCAAGGAAUUAGAGGAGAAGUAACACUCUCGUGGACUAUACUCACCUAAAGUUUGUUGGGCUUAUUGUUGAGUUUGUAUGGUGAUACCCUACUGCAAUAGGCGGUCUCCAAGGCUAGUCUUUUGAGGUGGCGCGGUAGACCGGCUGAUUACUACGAGGGUCAAUUUAGAAGGGAGAGUAUAAUCCUAACUAGAUAUUCAUCGGGUAGCCAGAGUCACCAACCGGUGAAUCGAUGGGUCAACGUCAAGGGCAUGAGUAAGUUGAUGGCUCUGGACCUAGCCAUGGCCACGGCGAAGGCUUGCGAGAUGUUUUCUAGACUACUUUAUGCUGGCCUUUUGUAGGUAGUAGGUGUGGUUGUGUGGCAAAGUGUUGAGCAUUUGCUACUGUUCUAUCUUCUAUGUAUCUUUUUAGUUAAUGUAUGUUUCUUUUUGUCAUGGACAGGUUGUUUAACUUAUGGAUCCACUAGGGUGUAGCAAACCUUGUUGCAUGGUUUUGUUUCUAAAUAACUCUUAAACUCAUGUGUAUCAGCAUUUACUGCUGUUGUUAAUGUUGAUUACCUGUGCAUUUGUAAACCUCUAUAUUUUUCAAUACA